CCUACGGGAGGCAGCAGUGGGGAAUAUUGCACAAUGGGCGAAAGCCUGAUGCAGCAACGCCGCGUGAGCGAUGAAGGCCUUCGGGUCGUAAAGCACUGUCCUAAAGGAAGAUAAUGACGGUGCUAGAGGAGGAAGCUCAGGCUAAGUACGUGGCAGCAACCGCGGUAAUACGUAGGGGGCUAGCGUUAGCCGGAAUUACUGGGCGUAAGGGGUGCGUAGGUGGUUUGUUAAGUCAGAGGUGAAAGGCUACGGCUCACCCGUAGUAAGCCUUUGAGACUGGGAAACUUGAGUGCAGGAGAGGGGAGUGGAAUUCCUAGUGUAGCGGUGAAAUGCGUAGAUAUUAGGAGGAACACCAGUUGCGAAGGCGGCUCUCUGGACUGUAACUGACACUCAGGCACGAAAGCGUGGGGAGCAAACAGGAUUAGAUACCCCUGUUGUC
This 439-nucleotide ribosomal RNA is filed under the name uncultured bacterium. RNAcentral describes it as "partial 16S ribosomal RNA". It matches the Rfam family "Bacterial small subunit ribosomal RNA", at positions 338 to 795 of the family's 1533-position model. The record is from RNAcentral.